CCUGCCACCUGCCGCCUGCCGCCCGCCUCCUGCCACCUGUCACCUGCCGCCCGACGCCCGCCUCCUGCCACCUGCCGCCCGCUGCCCGCCUCCUGCCACCUGCCACCUGCCGCCCUCCACCUGCCUCCUGUUACCUGCCCCCCGCUGCCUGCCCCCUGCCGCCCCGUUACCCACCGGUGAGUGCCAGCUUCCAGCGCGUCGCCCUCGGCGGCUCUCCCGGCUUUGCUCCUCCGACCAAGGGCCGGGCUGCUGGGCUCUCGGGGACAGGCACCGGGGUUGCCCUUCCUGGGAAAGUGCAGGCCCGGCCGGCUGCGUCCUGGCGGCGCCUCCCCCAUUGUGACCUGCCGCUCCCCAUUGUGACUGUCCCUUCCAAUGCUCCGCAGACUCCGAUGACAAGGAUGGGCCAGCUGUCACUCGUCUCCAUCACCACUUCGAGAAAAAAGAAGGGUCGUACCCAGGGAUGUAGCCCACCUUCAACGUGAAGGCCCGACUCAGAGCUCCCUGUGCCGGUGGCCUGGGCCCCCCUUGGAGACAAGCCCUACUCGGUGCAGGUGCACCAGCUCGGGUGAGAAGCAGACACACAGUAGGGGUCAACGUGACACACACUCCUUAGACAUCUGCAUCACCCCCAAAGGGGUCAGACUGUCAAAUAGUUCUCCUCCGUAGUAAAGUAUGGAGCCAAGUGUAUGGAAAAGGAAGAUGCUACUGACAUUCCUUCCCAGGCCAGGGCGCCUCACCCCCCUCCUGGCCUGUCCUCUGCCCUCUACACAGGAAGGAGAUUUGGAGCAAAACCGGAACAAAGGCCUGUCACGAUGAAGAAAAGCCCCAAGCUAAGCAGAACCCCGGCCACCUACAUCUUUCAUUUCCAUCCCCCUGCCUUGAAAGAGGGAAAUAUAAGAAAACAGGUAUGGGGGGUGGGGUUUGAGGAUUUUCCUAAUAUUAAGGAGAGGAGGUUCCCUCUGGGCUGAUAUUAUUGCAGGGAUUAAUUACAGAGGUUUGAGGUCAGGGAACUAGUCACCAGUCCCUGGGACAAAUAGCAUCACUAUUGAAAUGACAAGGCUAACACACGACACAGACUCUGUUUCCCUUCAUCUUGCUCAUUCCUUCGGGAUCCUGAGGAUCAGACUGAAGAGUAUGAGCUGGGGAGGUGCCCUGGGUUUGGGCAUCUCGACCCCAAAGCACAGAGGGGACAGGCCACGCCAGCGACGGAGGGCAGCUGGGGCCACUCUGCAGAGCUUCUCGUCACUUCCUCAGUUUGCAGAGCCGGACAACCCUGCUGUAGGUCAGAAUGCGUGAGUUUCCAAAAUGAAGUUCUGUUUACAUGCUCCAUUAAUUUUAAAUAGUGGCCAAGUGUGCUUCGUGGAGGAUUCCGCUAUCUGGCCUGCGCGUCCGGACACUCGCUAUCUCCCCAAAUGCGUGUGGGUUCUUAGGUCCCUCGGGGUAGACAUCCCCUCUGCACAGAGGAGGCAGUGACUGCUAUUAAGUUUGAAUAUUUAGAUUUCUCACUUCAGUAAAUUUCAUCAGGGAAAGCUUAUUUUCAGGGGAUUAGAAAAGGUUGUUAGGCAUUGUCGGAGGACAGCCAUAGGAAACCAACAGUUUGGAUGAUGGUUUUUCAUUGCCUUUGAUGGUAUGAAGGGUUUAGCCAGCCAGACUGUAUGUUCACACUAUGAUCUGGGGCCCCUGCUCACCUCCAUGGCAGCGGACAACUGGCCAAGCCCCAAACAGAGAUUUGUCUCCCAAGCACAUAGCACUGCCUUAAAUGAGGAAUAAUAAAGGGAAUGGAGGGCUUGGGGAAAACA
This 1799-nucleotide long non-coding RNA is filed under the name Vulpes vulpes (red fox). Its description in RNAcentral is "lncRNA (ENSVVUG00000022375.1)". The record is from RNAcentral. Lineage: Eukaryota; Metazoa; Chordata; Mammalia; Carnivora; Canidae.